UACAGAGGUCUCAAGCGUUGUUCGGAUUCAUUGGGCGUAAAGGGUGCGUAGGCGGCGCGGUAAGUCGGGUGUGAAAUCUUGGAGCUUAACUCCGAAACUGCAUUCGAUACUGCCGUGCUUGAGGACUGGAGAGGAGACUGGAAUUUACGGUGUAGCGGUGAAAUGCGUAGAUAUCGUUUGGAACGCCAAUGGUGAAAACAGGUCGCUGGGGAUGAGCUGACGCUGAGACACGAAAGCCAGGGGAGCAAACGGG
This 253-nucleotide ribosomal RNA is filed under the name uncultured bacterium. Its description in RNAcentral is "partial 16S ribosomal RNA". It matches the Rfam family "Bacterial small subunit ribosomal RNA", at positions 524 to 776 of the family's 1533-position model. The record is from RNAcentral.